AUGCUCACUUUAGCAGUAUGUAUACUAAAUCAGAAUGAUUUAGAAAAGAUUACUAUGUUCCCUGUGCAAGAAUGACAUGUAAAUUCAUGAAGCGUUUCCUGUUUUC
Nannospalax galili (Upper Galilee mountains blind mole rat) is the source of this 106-nucleotide small nuclear RNA. The record is from Ensembl. Lineage: Eukaryota; Metazoa; Chordata; Mammalia; Rodentia; Spalacidae.